GGGCCCGCACAAGCGGUGGAGCAUGUGGUUUAAUUCGAUGCAACGCGAAAAACCUUACCGGGAUUUGACAUCCCCUGCUCACUUUCGAAAGAAGGUUUUCUCUUCGGAGACAGGGAGACAGGUGGUGCAUGGUUGUCGUCAGCUCGUGUCGUGAGAUGUUGGGUUAAGUCCCGCAACGAGCGCAACCCCUAUUAUUAGUUGCUAACACUUCGGGUGAGCACUCUAAUAAGACUGCCGGUGAUAAACCGGAGGAAGGUGGGGACGACGUCAAAUCAUCAUGCCCUUUAUAUCCCGGGCUACACACGUGCUACAAUGGCCUAUACAGAGGGAAGCGACCUGGCGACAGGAAGCGGACCCCGUAAAAUAGGUCUCAGUUCAGAUUGCAGGCUGCAACUCGCCUGCAUGAAGCAGGAAUCGCUAGUAAUCGCAGGUCAGAAUACUGCGGUGAAUACGUUCCCGGGCCUU
RNAcentral lists this ribosomal RNA (465 nucleotides) under uncultured bacterium. RNAcentral's name for it is "bacterial SSU rRNA". It matches the Rfam family "Bacterial small subunit ribosomal RNA", at positions 917 to 1382 of the family's 1533-position model. The record is from RNAcentral.